GAUGAACGCUGGCGGUGUGCCUAAUACAUGCAAGUCGAGCGAACAGACGAGGAGCUUGCUCCUCUGACGUUAGCGGCGGACGGGUGAGUAACACGUGGAUAACCUACCUAUAAGACUGGGAUAACUUCGGGAAACCGGAGCUAAUACCGGAUAAUAUAUUGAACCGCAUGGUUCAAUAGUGAAAGACGGUUUUGCUGUCACUUAUAGAUGGAUCCGCGCCGCAUUAGCUAGUUGGUAAGGUAACGGCUUACCAAGGCAACGAUGCGUAGCCGACCUGAGAGGGUGAUCGGCCACCCUGGAACUGAGACACGGUCCAGACUCCUACGGGAGGCAGCAGUAGGGAAUCUUCCGCAAUGGGCGAAAGCUUGACGGAGCAACGCCGCGUGAGUGAUGAAGGUCUUCGGAUCGUAAAACUCUGUUAUUAGGGAAGAACAAAUGUGUAAGUAACUAUGCACGUCUUGACGGUACCUAAUCAGAAAGCCACGGCUAACUACGUG
RNAcentral lists this ribosomal RNA (497 nucleotides) under uncultured bacterium. RNAcentral's name for it is "partial 16S ribosomal RNA". It matches the Rfam family "Bacterial small subunit ribosomal RNA", at positions 28 to 507 of the family's 1533-position model. The record is from RNAcentral.